Molecule: ribosomal RNA, 253 nt
Filed under: uncultured bacterium
Lineage: Bacteria
Description: partial 16S ribosomal RNA
Rfam family: Bacterial small subunit ribosomal RNA
Source: RNAcentral
UACGGAGGGUCCAAGCGUUAUCCGGAUUUAUUAGGUUUAAAGGGUCCGCAGGCGGGAUUUUAAGUCAGUGGUGAAAGCCUACAGCUCAACUGUAGAACUGCCAUUGAUACUGAUAUCCUUGAGUGUGGUUGAAGUGGGCGGAACAUGUCAUGUAGCGGUGAAAUGCAUAGAUAUGACAUAGAACACCAAUUGCGAAGGCAGCUCACUAAGCCAUUACUGACGCUGAGGGACGAAAGCGUGGGGAGCGAACAGG